This 253-nucleotide ribosomal RNA is filed under the name uncultured bacterium. Its description in RNAcentral is "partial 16S ribosomal RNA". It matches the Rfam family "Bacterial small subunit ribosomal RNA", at positions 524 to 776 of the family's 1533-position model. The record is from RNAcentral.
UACGUAGGGGGCAAGCGUUGUCCGGAUUUAUUGGGCGUAAAGAGCGUGUAGGCGGCCAUACAGGUCCGUUGUGAAAACUGGAGGCUUAACCUCCAGACGUCGAUGGAAACCGUAUGGCUAGAGUCCGGAAGAGGAGAGUGGAAUUCCUGGUGUAGCGGUGAAAUGCGCAGAUAUCGGGAAGAACACCCGUGGCGAAGGCGGCUCUCUGGGACGGUACUGACGCUGAGACGCGAAAGCGUGGGGAGCGAACAGG